RNAcentral lists this ribosomal RNA (627 nucleotides) under Stenotrophomonas maltophilia. RNAcentral describes it as "bacterial SSU rRNA". It matches the Rfam family "Bacterial small subunit ribosomal RNA", at positions 52 to 668 of the family's 1533-position model. The record is from RNAcentral. Lineage: Bacteria; Pseudomonadati; Pseudomonadota; Gammaproteobacteria; Lysobacterales; Lysobacteraceae.
UACCAUGCAGUCGAACGGCAGCACAGGAGAGCUUGCUCUCUGGGUGGCGAGUGGCGGACGGGUGAGGAAUACAUCGGAAUCUACUCUGUCGUGGGGGAUAACGUAGGGAAACUUACGCUAAUACCGCAUACGACCUACGGGUGAAAGCAGGGGACCUUCGGGCCUUGCGCGAUUGAAUGAGCCGAUGUCGGAUUAGCUAGUUGGCGGGGUAAAGGCCCACCAAGGCGACGAUCCGUAGCUGGUCUGAGAGGAUGAUCAGCCACACUGGAACUGAGACACGGUCCAGACUCCUACGGGAGGCAGCAGUGGGGAAUAUUGGACAAUGGGCGCAAGCCUGAUCCAGCCAUACCGCGUGGGUGAAGAAGGCCUUCGGGUUGUAAAGCCCUUUUGUUGGGAAAGAAAUCCAGCUGGCUAAUACCCGGUUGGGAUGACGGUACCCAAAGAAUAAGCACCGGCUAACUUCGUGCCAGCAGCCGCGGUAAUACGAAGGGUGCAAGCGUUACUCGGAAUUACUGGGCGUAAAGCGUGCGUAGGUGGUCGUUUAAGUCCGUUGUGAAAGCCCUGGGCUCAACCUGGGAACUGCAGUGGAUACUGGGCGACUAGAAUGUGGUAGAGGGUAGCGGAAUU